UCCGAAUUUUAACCACAAAUAUUGGUAUGACAACUUGGACAAGGCUCCUCUAGAAUAAUUAUUAAAUAUUUAAAGAAUCUAAUGGUUGGACGUAUACUCACACCCAAGACAUGAAGCCAAAGUCCAUGUAACAACUAAUUGAUGUGGCUGUUUGAUGCUUGGAAAUACAGGCUUGAGGUCUUAUACGAAGAGCAAAAAGAAAAAAAAGUUUCCUUUCAUGGUCUUGAAUACCCUACAUUUCAUAAGGAUGGGAGAUUACUUUUAUUGUGCUAUCCUCUGUAUCUUAAGAAGCUUGUCUCAGUUGGAAAUGUGGGCCAAAUGUGCAAAUGAAUCGAGUCCUGCCAAGUAGCAAGCUACUCAAAC
Molecule: long non-coding RNA, 363 nt
Filed under: Elaeis guineensis (African oil palm)
Lineage: Eukaryota; Viridiplantae; Streptophyta; Magnoliopsida; Arecales; Arecaceae
Description: long non-coding RNA (EGUI_LNC018010)
Source: RNAcentral